RNAcentral lists this long non-coding RNA (340 nucleotides) under Glycine max (soybean). Its description in RNAcentral is "long non-coding RNA (GMAX_LNC004627)". Lineage: Eukaryota; Viridiplantae; Streptophyta; Magnoliopsida; Fabales; Fabaceae. The record is from RNAcentral.
UUUUGUAAGGUUUUGAGUUGAAGCUAGUUGUUGGAAACCAAAGAGAAGGUGUAAAGGAAAGAAGGAGAAGAUGCAUCCACAUAUAAUAUUAUAAGAUAUAACCUUGUACCUGAAAUUUUGCAUGGUGGUGUCGUGCUUGGUCAUUGUUGAUUGACGUAUGAGGACGAAGAAGGGCUCAAGGAGGCAAGCCACAGAAAGGAACCCGCCAAAGAAGACGACGAAAAUCGUUAUCCACCGUCAUGACCACCAGCUCCCUCCCUCUCCCUUAGCCUUCCACGUGUCAUCCGAAACUUCCCUUCCCCGCAGAUCAGAUAGCCCCAUCUCUUUCUCUUUCUCUGGC